This 253-nucleotide ribosomal RNA is filed under the name uncultured bacterium. Its description in RNAcentral is "partial 16S ribosomal RNA". It matches the Rfam family "Bacterial small subunit ribosomal RNA", at positions 524 to 776 of the family's 1533-position model. The record is from RNAcentral.
UACGUAGGUCCCGAGCGUUGUCCGGAUUUAUUGGGCGUAAAGGGAGCGCAGGCGGCGCGCCAAGUCUGAUGUGAAACCCCGGGGCUCAACCCCGGGCAUGCAUUGGAAACUGGCGGGCUGGAGUGCCGGAGAGGUAAGCGGAAUUCCUAGUGUAGCGGUGAAAUGCGUAGAUAUUAGGAGGAACACCAGUGGCGAAGGCGGCUUACUGGGCGGCAACUGACGCUGAGGCUCGAAAGCGUGGGGAGCAAACAGG